UUGACCGCUUCCCGGGAGGGGGCAUCCACCACCUCUCUGGGCAACCUCUUCCAGUGCCUCACCGCCCUCAGCGUGAAGAAUUUCUUCCGUAUAUCUGAUCUAAAUCUUCCCUCUUCCAGUUUUAAACCGUUACCCCCUCGUCCUAUCACAGCGCUCCCUGACAAAGAGUCCCUCCCCGCCUCUCCUGUAGGCCCCCUUCGAGGGCUGGAAGGGCCGCUGUAAGGUCUCCCCGGAGCCCUCUCGUUCUUCUCCAGGCCGAACAACCCCAACUCGGUCCAUGCCAAGGGUGCGGGGAGCCUCCUUCGCAGUUUUCCUUGCAGUUCCUUGUACCCGAGCUGCUGGUCUCCAGGUUGUUGCAGAUCACCUCCACCGCGGCUGAUGCCACAUCUCUCCCUCGACGGUGCUCCGUUCGCUUUGGGAAUUUGCAAGAUCUUCCUCCACCUGUCCUUCACGCUCGACGGGAGUCGCCUCCAGAGGCUGAGGACUCGCUGCCCCUUUCCCGAUCCCUUUGCCAACGGGAUCCCUCUCUUCUCCCUGAGGGGGCUGCGUAAUACCGAGCCGUGUUCGGUGGGUGCUGGCCGGGGCCCCGGCACGCUCUGGUAAGUUCUGCCUCUCUGGAAGAGUCCGGUCGUCUUUUUUUUUUUUUCCGACCGUUCGAUCACUUCAUCGGGAAUCCCGCGCUUGUUCGGGAGGGAAGUUCCAGACCGACGGAGGCGAGAAGUUCUCUAGAGACCCGCCCGUAUUCUCCCGCGCGCCGUGCCGCCCGUCACCACGCUCUCGCGCGGCCUGGGUCGUAUUCCUAAAUCGCUUGUUAACCUUAACGCAAAACUGAAACAGUAUUCCCGAGAAAACACCCGACAGAAGUACCUGAACGACCCAGGGAUGUCCAAGGUACCGGAAAGUUACUGUAAUGGAGGAGGAGACGUCGUAGAAGAAGGUGGCGGCGCUGCCGUUCUGUAUUUCCUCCGUAAAAAAAAAACACACCCUCUCGGAGGAAGGGGCUGUACUUUGCUAACGGUCUCCACGAAGCGGUACCCGAAGUACGGUCAGGGCUGCGGGACGAAGCUGAAACACCCGGCUGAGCUCCAGGUCAGCGUUGCAGUAAACGGAACCUCCCCGGCGAAACGUCGCCGGUCGCUGCGGAGCCCAGCGAACGGCGAAAACCGGCGCCGACCUCUAACCUGUACAGCGAGAA
Aptenodytes forsteri (emperor penguin) is the source of this 1195-nucleotide long non-coding RNA. RefSeq lists it as uncharacterized. The transcript is spliced from 2 exons. The record is from RefSeq and is a predicted model, not a curated record. NCBI's taxonomy places the organism in Eukaryota, Metazoa, Chordata, Aves, Sphenisciformes, Spheniscidae.